This 342-nucleotide ribosomal RNA is filed under the name uncultured soil bacterium. RNAcentral's name for it is "bacterial SSU rRNA". It matches the Rfam family "Bacterial small subunit ribosomal RNA", at positions 26 to 353 of the family's 1533-position model. The record is from RNAcentral.
AGAGUGAACGCUGGCGGCAGGCCUAACACAUGCAAGUCGAACGGCAGCACAAGGGAGCUUGCUCCCUGGGUGGCGAGUGGCGGACGGGUGAGGAAUACGUCGGAAUCUGCCUAUUUGUGGGGGAUAACGUAGGGAAACUUACGCUAAUACCGCAUACGACCCCAUGCCGAGAGGCGCGGGGGUGAAAGCGGAGGACCUUCGGGCUUCGCGCAGAUAGAUGAGCCGACGUCGGAUUAGCUUGUGGCGGGGUAACGCCACAAGGCGACGAUCCGUAGCUGGUCUGAGAGGAUGAUCAGCCACACUGGAACUGAGACACGGUCCAGACUCCGUACGGGAGCAGCA